Molecule: ribosomal RNA, 253 nt
Filed under: uncultured bacterium
Lineage: Bacteria
Description: partial 16S ribosomal RNA
Rfam family: Bacterial small subunit ribosomal RNA
Source: RNAcentral
UACAGAGGUCCCGAGCGUUGUUCGGAUUCAUUGGGCGUAAAGGGUGCGUAGGCGGCGGGGCAAGUCUGAUGUGAAAUCCCGGGGCUCAACCCCGGAACUGCAUUGGAUACUGCCUUGCUAGAGUACUGGAGAGGGAACUGGAAUUUACGGUGUAGCAGUGAAAUGCGUAGAGAUCGUAAGGAAGGCCAGUGGCGAAGGCGAGUUCCUGGACAGUUACUGACGCUGAGGCGCGAAAGCUAGGGGAGCAAACGGG